This 468-nucleotide ribosomal RNA is filed under the name uncultured organism. RNAcentral's name for it is "partial 16S ribosomal RNA". It matches the Rfam family "Bacterial small subunit ribosomal RNA", at positions 332 to 797 of the family's 1533-position model. The record is from RNAcentral.
UACACUCCUACGGGAGGCAGCAGUGAGGAAUAUUGGACAAUGGGUGGAAGCCUGAUCCAGCCAUCCCGCGUGCAGGAAGACGGCCCUAUGGGUUGUAAACUGCUUUUAUCUGGGGAUAAACCUACUUACGUGUAAGUAGCUGAAGGUACCAGAAGAAUAAGCACCGGCUAACUCCGUGCCAGCAGCCGCGGUAAUACGGAGGGUGCAAGCGUUAUCCGGAUUUAUUGGGUUUAAAGGGUCCGUAGGCGGACUGAUAAGUCAGUGGUGAAAUCCGACAGCUUAACUGUCGAACUGCCAUUGAUACUGUUAGUCUUGAGUAAGGUUGAAGUGGCUGGAAUAAGUAGUGUAGCGGUGAAAUGCAUAGAUAUUACUUAGAACACCAAUUGCGAAGGCAGGUCACUAAGUCUUAACUGACGCUGAUGGACGAAAGCGUGGGGAGCGAACAGGAUUAGAAACCCGGUAGUCCCA